GGACCCGCACAAGCGGUGGAUGAUGUGGAUUAAUUCGAUGCAACGCGAAAAACCUUACCUACCCUUGACAUGUCAGGAAGUCUGCUGAGAGGCGGAUGUGCCCGAAAGGGAACCUGAACACAGGUGCUGCAUGGCUGUCGUCAGCUCGUGUCGUGAGAUGUUGGGUUAAGUCCCGCAACGAGCGCAACCCUUGUCAUUAAUUGCCAUCAUUCAGUUGGGCACUUUAAUGAGACUGCCGGUGACAAACCGGAGGAAGGUGGGGAUGACGUCAAGUCCUCAUGGCCCUUAUGGGUAGGGCUUCACACGUCAUACAAUGGUCGGUACAGAGGGUUGCCAACCCGCGAGGGGGAGCCAAUCCCACAAAGCCGAUCGUAGUCCGGAUCGCAGUCUGCAACUCGACUGCGUGAAGUCGGAAUCGCUAGUAAUCGUGGAUCAGCAUGUCACGGUGAAUACGUUCCCGGGUCUUGUACACACCGCCCGUCACACCAUGGGAGUGGGUUCCACCAGAAGUAGGUAGUCUAACCGCAAGGGGGGCGCUUACCACGGUGGGAUUCAUGACUGGGGUGAAGUCGUAACAAGGUAGCCGUAUCGGAAGGUGCGGCU
This 603-nucleotide ribosomal RNA is filed under the name uncultured bacterium. RNAcentral's name for it is "bacterial SSU rRNA". It matches the Rfam family "Bacterial small subunit ribosomal RNA", at positions 917 to 1519 of the family's 1533-position model. The record is from RNAcentral.